RNAcentral lists this ribosomal RNA (253 nucleotides) under uncultured bacterium. Its description in RNAcentral is "partial 16S ribosomal RNA". It matches the Rfam family "Bacterial small subunit ribosomal RNA", at positions 524 to 776 of the family's 1533-position model. The record is from RNAcentral.
UACGAAGGGGGCUAGCGUUGUUCGGAAUUACUGGGCGUAAAGCGCACGUAGGCGGACUAUUAAGUCAGGGGUGAAAUCCUGGAGCUCAACUCCAGAACUGCCUUCGAUACUGGCGAUCUUGAGUCCGGAAGAGGUGAGUGGAACUCCUAGUGUAGAGGUGGAAUUCGUAGAUAUUAGGAAGAACACCAGUGGCGAAGGCGGCUCACUGGUCCGGUACUGACGCUGAGGUGCGAAAGCGUGGGGAGCAAACAGG